This 698-nucleotide ribosomal RNA is filed under the name bacterium EAB-F5.03. RNAcentral's name for it is "bacterial SSU rRNA". It matches the Rfam family "Bacterial small subunit ribosomal RNA", at positions 45 to 760 of the family's 1533-position model. The record is from RNAcentral.
UGCUUAACACAUGCAAGUCGAACGAUGAACCGCUUUCGGGCGGGGAUUAGUGGCGAACGGGUGAGUAACACGUGGGCAAUCUGCCCUGCACUCUGGGACAAGCCCUGGAAACGGGGUCUAAUACCGGAUAUGACUGUCCAUCGCAUGGUGGAUGGUGUAAAGCUCCGGCGGUGCAGGAUGAGCCCGCGGCCUAUCAGCUUGUUGGUGAGGUAGUGGCUCACCAAGGCGACGACGGGUAGCCGGCCUGAGAGGGCGACCGGCCACACUGGGACUGAGACACGGCCCAGACUCCUACGGGAGGCAGCAGUGGGGAAUAUUGCACAAUGGGCGAAAGCCUGAUGCAGCGACGCCGCGUGAGGGAUGACGGCCUUCGGGUUGUAAACCUCUUUCAGCAGGGAAGAAGCGAAAGUGACGGUACCUGCAGAAGAAGCGCCGGCUAACUACGUGCCAGCAGCCGCGGUAAUACGUAGGGCGCAAGCGUUGUCCGGAAUUAUUGGGCGUAAAGAGCUCGUAGGCGGCUUGUCACGUCGGUUGUGAAAGCCCGGGGCUUAACCCCGGGUCUGCAGUCGAUACGGGCAGGCUAGAGUUCGGUAGGGGAGAUCGGAAUUCCUGGUGUAGCGGUGAAAUGCGCAGAUAUCAGGAGGAACACCGGUGGCGAAGGCGGAUCUCUGGGCCGAUACURACGCUAGGAGCAAAGC